GUCCCUGUAGCUCAGUUGGUAGAGCAUGGUGUUUGCAACGCCAGGGUUGUGGGUUCGGUUCCCACGGGGGGCC
Molecule: transfer RNA, 73 nt
Filed under: Salmo salar (Atlantic salmon)
Lineage: Eukaryota; Metazoa; Chordata; Actinopteri; Salmoniformes; Salmonidae
Rfam family: tRNA
About the family: Transfer RNA (tRNA) molecules are approximately 80 nucleotides in length. Their secondary structure includes four short double-helical elements and three loops (D, anti-codon, and T loops). Further hydrogen bonds mediate the characteristic L-shaped molecular structure. tRNAs have two regions of fundamental functional importance: the anti-codon, which is responsible for specific mRNA codon recognition, and the 3' end, to which the tRNAs corresponding amino acid is attached (by aminoacyl-tRNA synthetases). tRNAs cope with the degeneracy of the genetic code in two manners: having more than one tRNA (with a specific anti-codon) for a particular amino acid; and 'wobble' base-pairing, i.e. permitting non-standard base-pairing at the 3rd anti-codon position.
Source: Rfam by way of RNAcentral